AGAGCGAACGCUGGCGGCAGGCCUAACACAUGCAAGUCGAGCGCCCGUAGCAAUACGGGAGCGGCAGACGGGAUAGUAACACGUGGGAACGCGCCCUUCGGUUCGGAAUAACUCAGGGAAACUUGAGCUAAUACCGGAUACGCCCUUACGGGGAAAGAUUUAUUGCCGAAGGAACGGCCCGCGUCCGAUUAGCUAGUUGGUGAGGUAAUGGCUCACCAAGGCGACGAUCGGUAGCUGGUCUGAGAGGAUGACCAGCAUCACUGGGACUGAGACACGGCCCAAACUCCUACGGGAGGCAGCAGUGGGGAAUAUUGGACAAUGGGCGCAAGCCUGAUCCAGCAAUGCCGCGUGUGUGAAGAAGGUCUUCGGAUUGUAAAGCACUUUCGACGGGGACGAUGAUGACGGUACCGUAGAAGAGGCCCCGCUAACUUCGUGCCAGCAGCCGC
This 446-nucleotide ribosomal RNA is filed under the name uncultured bacterium. RNAcentral describes it as "SSU rRNA". It matches the Rfam family "Bacterial small subunit ribosomal RNA", at positions 26 to 518 of the family's 1533-position model. The record is from RNAcentral.